CUGCGGAAGGUCAUUACUAGAGCAAAGGAUAGACAGCGCCCGCGGAGCUCGCUCCCGGGGCUACCCUACUCCCGUAGGGUUUAGAGUCGUCGGGCCUCUCGGAGAAGCUCGGUCCUGAACUCCACCCUUGAAUAAACUACCUUUGUUGCUUUGGCGGGCCGCCUCGUGCCAGCGGCUUCGGCUGUUGAGUGCCCGCCAGAGGACCCCAACUCUUGUUUUUAGUGAUGUCUGAGUACUAUAUAAUAGUUAAAACUUUCAACAACGGAUCUCUUGGUUCUGGCAUCGAUGAAGAACGCAGCGAAAUGCGAUAAGUAAUGUGAAUUGCAGAAUUCAGUGAAUCAUCGAAUCUUUGAACGCACAUUGCGCCCUCUGGUAUUCCGGGGGGCAUGCCUGUUCGAGCGUCAUUAUAACCACUCAAGCUCUCGCUUGGUAUUGGGGUUCGCGGUUUCGCGGCCCCUAAAAUCAGUGGCGGUGCCUGUCGGCUCUACGCGUAGUAAUACUCCUCGCGAUUGAGUCCGGUAGGUCUACUUGCCAGCAACCCCUAAUUUUUUUUAAGGUUGACCUCGGAUCAGGUAGGGAUACCCGCUGAACUUAAGCAUAUCAAUAAGCGGAGGAAAAGAAACCAACAGGGAUUACCUCAGUAACGGCGAGUGAAGCGGUAACAGCUCAAAUUUGAAAGCUGGCUCUUUUAGGGUCCGCGUUGUAAUUUGUAGAAGAUGCUUCGGGUGUGGCCCCGGUCU
Molecule: ribosomal RNA, 740 nt
Filed under: fungal sp.
Lineage: Eukaryota; Fungi
Description: eukaryotic LSU rRNA
Rfam family: 5.8S ribosomal RNA (bases 251-404)
Source: RNAcentral